This is a long non-coding RNA of Cuculus canorus (common cuckoo), 5955 nucleotides long. RefSeq lists it as uncharacterized. The transcript has 3 exons. The record is from RefSeq and is a predicted model, not a curated record. NCBI's taxonomy places the organism in Eukaryota, Metazoa, Chordata, Aves, Cuculiformes, Cuculidae.
CAUGUAUUCAGGUUUUUCUCUUAUACUUAUCAAGUGCAGAAACUUUAGAAGUAAAAUUGCCCUCCAGAGUUUUAAGUCAGAGCAUGAAUCCAGGAGCAAGAACUUUCAUAAAAAUGCCGAUUGUGACCAGGCUUGUGCCAAAACCCCCUAAGCACUCUGGCAUGGCAUUCCUGAGCCAAGAAGAUGGAUAUAUAGGAUAUAUAGACCUCAUCUGGUCCAUCGUUUUGCUGGAAGAUGAGGCAGCUGCCAAGUUUUUACAGUAGCUAUAUUGAGUCGUUGAGUCUCAAGGUGGAAGAGAGCUCAUACACGCAAUGCUAUAUCAGUGACCAAGACACAGCCCCACGCUCUCUCUGCUUCGUAUAGUGUAUUGCUCAUGGCAGUCAAUUGUACCUGUUGAAUAAAUUCUUUAUUUCAGAUAUAGCUUUGAUGAAUGGCUCUGCCUGAUGCACAAAAGAAUCACAAGCAAAAUAUUGAAUCUCAAGGCUAUAUUAUGCCCUCUGAGGUGUCCUCUGGCUCUAUCUUUUUGAAUCUACAUGUGGAAGAAGAGAAAGUAGCCAGUAGCCUGCCCAUGGCAGCAUGGUCCUAUUGAAAGGAAAGGAAAGAGCAUUAUAUCCUGCAAAGCGAUGCUCUUCUAUGUUCUCCAGCAAGCUUGGUCACUUCAGAUGACUUCUGGGCCCACGGACCACUCUGUCUCUUGCAGGCUGUUACAUCAAUAUUCAAAGUCCACUUAGAAACCGGAGAAAAAUCUUCAAAAAGGGGAAUAUGGAUUAUCAGCAGGCAAACUCCUCCAGUGAGUUGCAAUCAUGGAAAGGAAAGAACGUCUGGGAACAGAAGAUCUGUGUUUAGGGGAAGUGAAAGACAGUAUUACCUGUAUUAUUUUAUCGUCAUGUAUCUCUGAUCUGGAAGAAUUCGUCUACAGACCUUUAGGAAGAAGAGGAUAACUUAGUGCCUGGUUAUAUUCAGUAUUUGGCUUGGUCUGUUGAGACCAGUGGGAAGAAAUGAGUUUAUUGUGGUUGAUGUUUGCAGGAAGCUGAAGACUCUUCAAGCAUAUAAAGUGCCAAAACUACUUGAAUCAACUCUUUCUGUUUCUGAAAUGGUGCAGAUAAAAUAUAACCAUUCAGAAACACUGCCAAGAAGGAACAGGCUGCUAUUUUUAUGUUGUGGAGCAACAUGGCAAUGUAGAAGCAAGAACCAGUCCAGUAAAGGGUAGGACUGCAUAGAUGUCACUUCAUAGUCAAAGUGUCCCACCUCUCAAGUCUUGUCUUGAGCCAGCCUCCAUGCAGUCAUAAAGAUUAGGCACUUUGAGACUUGAAAUUCAUUAACCAAGAGAGAGAUUUCCCUAAAUGUUUUCGGUCUAUGAAGCCGUCCAGCAAAAUUCAUGUCUGAAUUUUGUUUUAUUCCUUUCCCCCGACAACACUGGGAUAUCUUUCCUACUCCUAUCAGUUUGCCGUAGGUUGUUAAUAGCAGAAUUGAAUAAAAUUCUUCAAGAACAAGGUCUGCUGCAAUGAUACGUUUUACUUAAAUAUGUGAUCAAACGAAAAUGCAGCUUCUGAAGAACAUUUUAAAACAAGAGCAAAAUCUGGCAACUUGUUAGAUGCCCUCAAUGACUGUAGUCUUACCAGAAACUUUGAUCACUGCUUCCUUCAUCUCUUUUCAUGCUGCUUACAAAGUUACUUGUGUAAAGAUGUAGUGCAUGAUUUACUUUAACGAAGGAAAGACAAAUUCAUUCUGAAGGCAGGAGAUGGAUGAUCUCUGGGCUUGAGUCACGUGUAGAUCUUGAAUGAUUUGGUGCGGUUGCUGUGGAGAAGUUGUGCGAAGUGGCUGGCGGCAGGGCUGUACCAGAGAACAUUGUUGUGCUAAUUAUUGACUAUAAUGAAGUAGAAAGAUGAUCUUCUGCAGUCAGUUUAAUUAUUUCAGAAUUGGAGAUGAACUUUCCCCAAAGCUGUAUGGUAUAGUGGGUAUCUCUGUGCUAACCCUCCUACCAGCCCUGUCUGCACGCUCACAUUUUGAGCCAUCCGGAAGCUCUUAUGGGCCAGGAGCCAUACCCUGAAGCAUUACAGUCUUCUCCAGGGAAGCUGCGGUGAUUACUAAAGAAAUUUAUUUAGUCCAUCAGAGAUGGUUCCCACCACUGAUGCAGGUACUAUUUAGGUGCCGUCCUGUGACUGCAGUAUUUCAGAAGGAAAAAUGGAGAAUGACUUUUCCAUUUGAAGCCAUACGAUAGGAUUCAGCCAGACAGGAUGUAAUUACCCUAGCUGGAGCUGGGCCAGGGGAGAAGAUCUGUGGCUCCCCGUCAGCAGGCUGAUUUUCACUACUUUCAAAUGAGAGGUUGCACAGAACACGGCAAAAUAAGUGAAACAAACUUGGUUUCUGUCUGGACAUCUCCUCCAUCAUGACCACAUCAGACACAAAUGAUGCACAAGUAGGUGUGCCCUGGAUUGCCCUUCAAAGACUCAGCUCAGAAAUCCAAAUAAAAGAGCAGCUGGAGGCGAGGAGCCUUUCCCAUUCAUUCAGGUGAGUUGCGAAGUGGGUAAUGAAAAUGCUAUUGUUUUCUAACACCGGCAAAAUAGAUUAUUCAGGCAAAUAAAUUCUGCUUGUGACUCUUCCUCUUACAAUAGAAACUGUGGCCCUAAUCCAGUAAAGCACUUUAGUAUGUGCUCGACUGGAAAUUUGUGAGCGGUCCUGCUGGUUGCAAGGGAUCAGCUCUCGUGCUUAAAGUUAAAUAUGAGGAGUGGGAGCUGGCAGGUGUGUGGAUGAGUGUGAUCGCCCAAGGGCCCUGCCUUAUUAUCUAUGAUUAUACGGGCUUAGCAUUUGGCUGGAUCAGGGCCCAUUUGAACAAAGAAGCAGGAUUAGCAGGCGUGCAAACAGGGAACAAAGCCAGAGGGUUCCAGCAGUGUCGAACACAACUUUGUUACUCUGACAGAAUAUAUAAAAGUGAAUGAAAAGGCUGCAUGAUUGCUGUUGCUAUCCUGUUAAUUAGGCUGAACUCAUGCUUCAUUAGUGCUACAAUAUGCUUCCAUCUUAACAAAGCCCUAUUGGGUGUAUGGAGGCACUUUACUAUUAGUAAAAUGAAACCUUAUCAGAAAGCCCUGUAAUUCAUUUCGUGAGACAAGUCAUGACAUAUGUUGUGUUGAAAUUGCACUGAAGAGACAGAUUACUCGCUUAACACUUGCUUUUCCUAAUGAACAUGAAAAGAUGUUUUCAAAACUGAGUUAUUUAUUUUAUUGGGAGCACUUCUGACCUUAUGCCUAAUUACAUUGCAUAGUCCUUUAGCAGUGUUUCAAGGAGUUCCUAAAUAACACAAAUUGAACUAAGCUGCUUUUGCUCUUGCACAUUCUCUCAGUGGCAUCUUGGAAAUACGGCCAAACAUUAAAACCCCUGUUUCUUGCUGUCAUUGUGGGAAAGAGAGUUUUGCGUAUAACCAGUACGAUGUCCCUGCAGCAGGAAUGCAGCAAAAGCACUAGCACAACCCAUAUUCCCACACUGCAGCAAUAUAAAGCAGCACUGAUUAAGCAGCAUAGUGAAAACGUGACAAAGAAGCAAGAAAAAACUAGGCUCAUUCACUGCCCCCAAAAAAAUGCUGCACUCCCUUCAGGACUACUGUAUCACGGGCAGGGUGUGUUAUUUGUAGUAGCAUUACAACAGAUGCUCACGUGUCAGUGAUAUUCCUGUGGACUCACUGUGCUGGGAAAUUAUGGCACAGGUCCUCACUGGCCUCGACUGCAGGGCUAACUCAAGUCAGUCCUGCCCUACCAGACAUCCCUGCUUUCUUAGCAAGGUUGGUGGGUUUCUGUGGGUGCCUUCAAAACUGGGUUUCCGUAGAUUAGAAUAUGUUAAGACUACUAAAACAAAAAAAAAAAAAGAAAAAGAAAAUCCCGAAGAGUUUUUGCUGAUCUUGGUCGUUAUCCAUCUAGCACAGCAUAUGGCAGCCCUCCGCAGUGUGGUUGGCACUGCGGGAGUAAAUCAGUCAUGAGUGGGGAGAGAAGGAGCAAAUGGGUGGGAAAGUGCAUGUAAGGAGGAGAUACUUUAACGGAUCUGCCACUGAGGGUACAAAGAUUAGUUGUGUUCACAAAAGCGUGAAUUUGAGGCAGAAUAAUUUACCAACCUGUGUAACUAAUUGCUGGUGACUGUUAGGGACGGGGGGGCAGGUUAUGCUUGGUGCUCCAGUGAUUGUCUCAUGCAAUGACUCUUUCUGCUACAGGCUGUAGUCAUAUGGCAAAUGCUGGCUUCAUUUCAGUACAACAGGGUGCUCCACCAUCUUCCACAGAAGGCCCUUGUUUGAUGGAUCCCUUCUGGGAGCCCCAGUGGCAGCAUCGCUGUCUGCAUCAGCCAAAAGCAGCUGUGUCCAACAGAGCAGGUCAUGCAUGGUGGAGCCGGACUCAACCUCAUUCUAGCUCUCAGCUCUUUCUACCUGAAUGAUCUGGAUUGCUGGUGGUAAGCUCAGGGAAAAGAAAUGUGUAGCAACGCCUUUUUAUUUUCAUAUUUCCUCCUUGUACCAUUCUUUAGCCUUACUUUAAACAUCUCUGCCUACUCAUGUCUUCCUACAGCAGAUGUAAAAAUACCUCCCUCUGUCCAUUUUCAAUGUUAUACCUUGCAGAUCUGACCCUAUAUGAGGGUCAUAACAGCACAGUCCAAUAGAGAAGAAAAAUGACGGUGAGGUAAUGUAGCAAAACCAACUGUCUGAAAGAGCAUCUCGUAACCGCUCACAGAUUCUCUUUGCUCUUCCAAAUUGGGCUACUUGUAUUGUCAUACUCAGGCAAUUGUUAAUGUAACCCUGUGAAAUCCAUGGAUUUUAUCCCAGGGUGGCUGCAGCCACAAGCAAGUGCCAUGGAUGAUGAGCGCAGGCUCACAUUGAUGUGCCAGGUGCUGCACAACUGCAUAUUCCCAAUGAAACUGGCAGCAGCCCCGUGGAGCCAGCGGAGCUACGCUUGUUUGCACCAAAUCAGUUUUGCCCCGGAGAUCAAAAGUGAGCACUUUGAUGUGAAAUUUAUAACAAUGACUGCUGGGAACUAGAGGUUGUUUUCAGAAAAUGCAUUAUUUACUAUGUAAAUAGUCUCUUAUUCUUACAGGCAUAGGAAAUGCUGCACUACAGUACAUUUGGGAAGAUUCUGAAAGAUUUUCUUCCAAGAUGGAAUAAUGCCUUGAUGCCUUAGGAACACAAUCAACGCAAACCACAGUUGUUAUCAGGUUAGUUUAGAUCUCAAUCAGAUCCCUUGCUCCACUUUGCUGUGCAGCUGUAGAGAUGCUCGAGCUGAAACAAAGUGAUGAGACAGAAUGGAGCAGAGCAGCACAGGAAUAGUCAUUUUGGCGACAGACCCACCUUACUUAAAUUUAAAAUGAUCAUAGAACUGUCAUAUGAGAUAGGCAAUUGCUAAUGUUCUCCACUGCUUAUGAUCAAGGUCAUAUCUACAACUGCCUGAUUGCUUAACCAAGUGGUUUCCUAAACUCAUUUUUGUAUAGCUUACAUAUAUAUCCAGAAGUGAAUAAAGAAAGCUAAAGUGUCAAAUAGCAAGAAAUUGUAACUGCUAACUCACAAUUGUGGGGUUUAGUAUGUAGAAUCUGUAAGAACACCUAAUUCGCCAUGCUCUUGGCUGAGUUUGUAAAUGUGAAUAUGAAAUAAAUGAGCCAUUAUCAAUCUGUUCCUACAGAAUAACUUCAACAACAGUACAAGAUGCAAUCCACUUGCAAACGGCUAGUCCAGUUAUCCUGUGUUUUGUUUUUAAACAGCCUUCCUGGGGUGAAAUAACUAUUUUUAAAAGGUGGGUGGUCAAAAUUUAAGGUAUGGAGGAGCACAGGCUCCCCUCCCACUUCCCUGUGCUUCUGAACUGAGUUUUCAGGGUUGGUGGGUGUCAUGCGGUGGUGGAUGUAUUUUGAUUCACAUGUCAUAUGUCUUAACUCUCCACAGUGUUUUGCAUCUGGGUCAGCUGUAUUUUUAUCAAGCAUUAGCAUGCAUAAGGG